Non-coding RNA from Triticum aestivum (bread wheat), 115 nucleotides. NCBI's taxonomy places the organism in Eukaryota, Viridiplantae, Streptophyta, Magnoliopsida, Poales, Poaceae. The record is from Rfam.
AUAUUACUCCCUCCGUUCGGAAAUACUUGUCCUAAAAAUGGUUGUAUCUAGACUUGUUUUAUUUCUAGAUACAACCAUUUCUAAGACAAGUAUUUCCGAACGGAGGGAGUAGUUA